RNAcentral lists this ribosomal RNA (465 nucleotides) under Vreelandella stevensii. Its description in RNAcentral is "partial 16S ribosomal RNA". It matches the Rfam family "Bacterial small subunit ribosomal RNA", at positions 338 to 795 of the family's 1533-position model. Lineage: Bacteria; Pseudomonadati; Pseudomonadota; Gammaproteobacteria; Oceanospirillales; Halomonadaceae. The record is from RNAcentral.
CCUACGGGUGGCUGCAGUGGGGAAUAUUGGACAAUGGGCGAAAGCCUGAUCCAGCCAUGCCGCGUGUGUGAAGAAGGCCUUCGGGUUGUAAAGCACUUUCAGUGGGGAAGAAAGCCUUGGGGCUAAUACCCUCGAGGAAGGACAUCACCCACAGAAGAAGCACCGGCUAACUCCGUGCCAGCAGCCGCGGUAAUACGGAGGGUGCGAGCGUUAAUCGGAAUUACUGGGCGUAAAGCGCGCGUAGGCGGUCUGAUAAGCCGGUUGUGAAAGCCCCGGGCUCAACCUGGGAACGGCAUCCGGAACUGUCGGGGUGGAGUGCAGGGGAGGAAGGAAGAAUUCCCGGUGUAGCGGUGAUAGGCGGAGAGAGCGGGAGGAAUACCAGUGGCGAAGGCGGCCUGCAGGACUGACACUGACGCUGAGGUGCGAAAGCGCGGGUAGCAAACCGGAUCAGAUACCCCGGUAGGG